GUGAUAUAUGAGUGUACGCAACAUCUGUGUUAAUAAAACUAUUAAGCAGAUUCUGAAAAUACUAUUCUUGGAACUUUACAUCCAUCUAAUGAAACCAAUGCCACAUAGAUUGUAUUGGUUUGUGCAGACAUUUUAACUCCUCGUGCCGAAUCUCUUCCAAAGGUGUGGAGAGUUUCCGUGUCUCAAGGCAGGCGGACACCCAAUCCCUCAUGGAGUCUCUGUGGUCUGUGUAUGACCAGGCCAUGGAACAUACCGGCAAGGCAGUUGGAGAAGAGAACCUUGCUGCAUCUUUCAAAAUGGCCACUGAUACGGCAGUCAGUAUGAGAACUGCAGCAAGAGGGCUCCUAGAUACCUUCUUCAAUAGACUGUAAAGGUACCUCAGGACAUAUAGUAAGUCUGCUCUUUGUUUGAGUAGAGUAGGUCGGUAUUUGCCUGGAUGUAGCCAAAAGACUAAUGCAGCCAAGUCUUUCUCUAUAGAUCAGAUGGUAUAUAGGAUGUUUUUCCAGACAAAUGAAUGGCUGUUAUGAAGAAUAACAAAUAAAGGUGAAAAACAUCACUGGCGAAUUUACCUGUAGUCUAAUUAUAUUAUAUAUGAAAGCCAUGCUUAAAUUAAGAGGGUUUAUGCCUCAUCCAUUUCUCAGUCCAUUUAUUAGUUCUCAGAAACCUUCUACCACUCUUUGUAGUUAGGGUCCUAUUCUCUCCAUUCCAAGGCCAACAAUUGAUCACGUCUGAAUGGGAGUGGCCAUCCUCCUCCCCCAGUAACAACAUGGUUUAGUCGCCAGGGCAACGUGUCCUUCAGAUCACAGAAUCAAUCUGAAGAGAAUCUUUGCACAGAACAAAGGUGGGACGAUCAUGUGUCGUGUACUCAUGCUUGUUUUCCCUGUACUUCAUUUAUAACCCCAUAAACGUAUGCAAUUCAUAUGUGAAUCAUUUUUUGUGUAGCAUUUCCAUGUGUGUAGUCACACAAGAAAACAUCAGUAAACCGUUCAACUGUGUUUUAAAACUGUGAGUCGUAAAUGCAGAAAUUCGGCUCUUUACAGGGAUGUCAGGGCCAAGCCCAUUAGCAGUCACCAUGGUAAUGUUAUCAAAAUCAGUAUGAAGUUUGUAAAGAUUUUUAAACAUUCAUGUGCAUUUACAUUAAGUUACCCGUGAAAUUAUGCAGUCACUUUGAAUUUUUGGAUACGGGCCACCUACAAGACAAAUGACAAUAUGAUUGUGGGGACCAUUAGAGUCCGCAUUACAUUUUCAAAGGAUACAACAUCACUUCCUGUAUAGUUCCAGUGCCAUAUGACGGUCAGAUGUCGGUCAGAAAAUUCAUGACAUAUAUAAAGAAUACAUAUGGGGGAUGUAUGAUUUUUGCUUUUUACAGAUUUCUCUUGGGGUCAAAUGAAUGUGGCUGUUUUCGGACAUGCUCGGGACAGUGUCUUAAGUCCAUCUACCAAUUUUUAUGUUAAGCAGAGUUGCUGAGAUACGACCUGACUUCUUGAUAUUAUGGCUGUAGAUUUCAGUUGGCAACACAUUGCCACAAACAUAUAUCUCAUUAUCAACAUGAUUCUUAGUCUGGAGAUCAUCUUUGCUAAACCUACUGAAGACUUGAAAAAAUGUAUGAGUUGGUUAUGAUGGAAAUUGAUGUCAUUGGAUACUUUGAAAUCGACUUGACCUAAGAAAUGUUAUGGUACCGGUUCCAACAUUACAUGUGUGUACGCACCUCUAAAUAUAACUGUAUGACCUAUUGUUACAGCUAGAACGAUUACAGGUGGAAGUCAAACUUGAAAAGAUUUAAAGGACUGUACCCAACAAAACGUUUUACCAUACAGUUCUAGGGGAUGCCAUAGACAGGCAGUGGAGAGUUGUUCUCCUUUAAGCAAACAGCCUCUGUAUGUCCAUGUGCUCUGUUGAUAUUGAUUUGAUUGCUGACCUGUAGACCAGUUGCUGCCCUGCCUAUGACAUGACUGCACUUUACUCUCUGGGCCUGUCUCUGUCCUACCGGCUGCACUGCAUAAAGCUGACCUCCUCCACACAGUGCUGUUGCAGAUCCUGCAAACUCAACUCAGAUACUCACCAAAGCUCCAAGGGGUCUCACCAUGACCAAGCUACUAUUCAUCUCAGCCUUCCUGGCAGUACUUGUCAUCAGUGUGGUGGGUUUUCGUGUUCCAAGGGGUGCUGAGUGGGUACCCCACGUGAAAUCAAUACAUGACCAGUCCAUGGACCUGGCUGGCCAGAUAGUUGGAAAAGAGAACCUUGAAGCUGCUCUAGAUACAACAACAGAAACAACUUUUAGUCUGGUAGGUGCAACAGCUAAGCUUGCAGAGGACAUUUUCAAAGCUCUCUUUAAAAACUAAUUGCUUCACUGUCUGUGACCUCCCCAUCUGCGUGGAAUGAACACAUUGCUCAUCAGUCUUUUACGAAGUCCAACCAUUGUGUGGAGGCUAAACUGACCAAGAACAAAAGGAGUUUUUUCUCUCUUUACUUGUGUACUAAAAAUGAUCUGAUGGACAGCAUGGCGUGGCCAUUUUUCCUUGACUCUUGAAAUGUACCAUCCCACAUUCAAUCCCACAAGACAUUUUAAAUGCUGUAUCAAAAGUGAUCCUACAGUAAUAAACAUCUUUCUUGAUUGGUGAAAGUUCACGCCUCCUCCAUGUUUUCUAUCUGCUAUUUUGGAACCAGUUCCCACUUCACCACCUCUCCUGUGAGGAUGCAAAACUGCAAAGCUUGUUUGUUUUCCACACAGACUUAAUAAAACCUGAUUCUGAAUGCGA
This is a long non-coding RNA of Clupea harengus (Atlantic herring), 2759 nucleotides long. RefSeq lists it as uncharacterized. The record is from RefSeq and is a predicted model, not a curated record. Lineage: Eukaryota; Metazoa; Chordata; Actinopteri; Clupeiformes; Clupeidae. The transcript has 6 exons.